CAUAUCAAUCCGCCGACGAAGAUUCUCAUCAAGCUUUUUUUGCAUCUAGCAUUACCUGUUCUGAUAAGAAACAAUCGUAACAACUUUCAACAAUGGAUCUCUUGGCUCUGGCAUCGAUGCAAGAACGCAGCGAAAUGCGAUAAGUAGUGUGAAUUGCAGAAUUCAGUGAAUCAUCGAAUCUUUGAACGCACAUUGCGCCCCUUGGUAUUCCAUGGGGCAUGCCUGUUCGAGCGUCAUCUACACCCUCAAGCUCUGCUUGGUGUUGGGCGUCUGUCCCGCCUCUGCGCGCGGACUCGCCCCAAAGGCAUUGGCAGCGGUCCACGGCCCCUCUCGCGCAGCACAUUGCGCUUCUCGAGGCGGCCCGGCCCGCAUCCACGAAGCCCACAUUACCGUCUUUGACCUCGGAUCAGGUAGGGAUACCCGCUGAACUUAAGCAUAUCAUAGCCCGGAGA
RNAcentral lists this ribosomal RNA (452 nucleotides) under Coniothyrium palmicola. RNAcentral's name for it is "eukaryotic LSU rRNA". The stretch from base 82 to 236 matches the Rfam family "5.8S ribosomal RNA". The record is from RNAcentral. Lineage: Eukaryota; Fungi; Ascomycota; Dothideomycetes; Pleosporales; Coniothyriaceae.